GCACUGUUGAGGAGUCCCACAAUAGGACGAAACAGCUGUCCAGUGC
This 46-nucleotide non-coding RNA is filed under the name Schistosoma mattheei. Lineage: Eukaryota; Metazoa; Platyhelminthes; Trematoda; Strigeidida; Schistosomatidae. The record is from RNAcentral.